This 164-nucleotide non-coding RNA is filed under the name marine eukaryotic metagenome. RNAcentral describes it as "FMN riboswitch (RFN element)". It matches the Rfam family "FMN riboswitch aptamer (RFN element)". Rfam says of the family: The RFN element is a highly conserved domain that is found frequently in the 5'-untranslated regions of prokaryotic mRNAs that encode for flavin mononucleotide (FMN) biosynthesis and transport proteins. This element is a metabolite-dependent riboswitch that directly binds FMN in the absence of proteins. The record is from RNAcentral.
UGUUCUCGGGGCGGGGUGAAAUUCCCCACCGGCGGUAAGAAGGUCGAAUAACUGACCUUUAAGCCCGCGAGCGCCUUCAGACCGGACCGUGGUCUUGGUUCAGAGGGUUAGCAGAUUCGGUGUAAAUCCGAAGCCGACGGUGACAGUCCGGAUGAAAGAGAACG